AAAGCGGAGGAAAAGGAACUAACAAGGAUUCCCCUAGUAACUGCGAGUGAAGCGGGAAGAGCUCAAAUUUAAAAUCUGGUAGUCUUUGGCUGCCCGAGUUGUAAUCUAGAGAAGCGUUAUCCGCGCUGGACCGUGUACAAGUCUCCUGGAAUGGAGCGUCAUAGAGGGUGAGAAUCCCGUCUUUGACACGGACUACCAGGGCUUUGUGAUACGCUCUCGAAGAGUCGAGUUGUUUGGGAAUGCAGCUCUAAAUGGGUGGUAAAUUCCAUCUAAAGCUAAAUAUUGGCGAGAGACCGAUAGCGAACAAGUACCGUGAGGGAAAGAUGAAAAGAACUUUGGAAAGAGAGUUAAACAGUACGUGAAAUUGUUGAAAGGGAAACGCUUGAAGUCAGUCACGUUGGCUAGGAAUCAGCCUUGCUUUUGCUUGGUGUAUUUCCUGGUUUUAACGGGUCAGCAUCAAUUUCGACCGAUGGAAAAAGGUCAGGGGAAUGUGGCAUCUUAGGAUGUGUUAUAGCCCUUGGUCGUAUACAUCGGUUGGGAUUGAGGAACUCAGCACGCCGCAAGGUCGGGUUAUCUAACCACGUUCGUGCUUAGGAUGCUGGCAUAAUGGCUUUAAUCGACCCGUCUUGAAACACGGACCAAGGAGUCUAACAUGCCUGCGAGUGUUUGGGUGGAAAACCCGAGCGCGUAAUGAAAGUGAAAGUUGAGAUCCCUGUCGUGGGGAGCAUCGACGCCCGGACCAGACCUUCUGUGACGGAUCCGCGGUAGAGCAUGUAUGUUGGGACCCGAAAGAUGGUGAACUAUGCCUGAAUAGGGUGAAGCCAGAGGAAACUCUGGUGGAGGCUCGUAGCGAUUCUGACGUGCAAAUCGAUCGUCAAAUUUGGGUAUAGGGGCGAAAGACUAAUCGAAC
This 910-nucleotide ribosomal RNA is filed under the name Lulesia mundula. RNAcentral describes it as "Clitocella mundula partial large subunit ribosomal RNA". It matches the Rfam family "Eukaryotic large subunit ribosomal RNA", at positions 47 to 940 of the family's 3401-position model. Lineage: Eukaryota; Fungi; Basidiomycota; Agaricomycetes; Agaricales; Entolomataceae. The record is from RNAcentral.